GUCCUAGCUGUAACGAUGCACAUUAGACGUGAGGGUAUCGACCCCUUCGUGUCGACGCUAACGCAUUAAAUGUGCCGCCUGGGAGUACGGCCGCAAGGUUGAAACUCAAAGGAAUUGACGGGCCCGCACAAGCGGUGGAGCAUGUGGUUUAAUUCGACGCAACGCGAAGAACCUUACCUGGGCUUGAACUGUCGGAAGUAGUCUUUAUGAAAGUAGAGACGGACCGUUAAGUCGGUAACCGAUAGAGGUGCUGCAUGGCUGUCGU
RNAcentral lists this ribosomal RNA (265 nucleotides) under uncultured bacterium. RNAcentral describes it as "partial 16S ribosomal RNA". It matches the Rfam family "Bacterial small subunit ribosomal RNA", at positions 793 to 1055 of the family's 1533-position model. The record is from RNAcentral.